Molecule: long non-coding RNA, 286 nt
Filed under: Phoenix dactylifera (date palm)
Lineage: Eukaryota; Viridiplantae; Streptophyta; Magnoliopsida; Arecales; Arecaceae
Description: long non-coding RNA (PDAC_LNC021786)
Source: RNAcentral
AAAAAAAAAACUUUUUUUUGAUUUGUACUUUCUUUCAUUACCUUAUUUUCAGUAUUAUACUGAAAUAAUUUUUUAUUUUACAUAAAUUGAAAGUGAAAAUACAUAACUUACAAGAUGCUUUUACUUUGCUUAUUCCUUUCCCUAUUUCUUCUUACCUCGGAACCUCCUCCUUCGCAUAUGUAUCACCAACUGGAGGCUCUUAUGAAGCUAUCCAAUACCUAUUCUACUACUAGCAAGCCUUCAAUAUGCUGCCUAGUUGUUCAAUGGCCCACUCUCAUGUCAUUCC